UGAGGAAUUUUGCACAAUGGGGGAAACCCUGAUGCAGCAACGCCGCGUGUAUGAUGAAGGGGCUAUGCCUUGUAAAGUACUGUCGGACAGGAAAAAAAGUUCCCUUUGGGGACUGGGAUUGUACUGUCAAAGGAAGGGUCGGCUAACUACGUGCCAGCAGCCGCGGUAAUACGUAGGACCCAAGCGUUGUCCGGAAUUACUGGGUGUAAAGGGUGCGUAGGCGGGCUUGCGCGUCGGAGGUUAAAGACCACAGCUUAACUGCGGAAGUGCCUCCGAUACGGUGAGUCUUGAAUUCGAGAGAGGUAAGUAGAAUUCCUGGUGUAGCGGUGAAAUGCGUAGAUAUCAGGAGGAAUACCAGUGGCGAAGGCGGCUUACUGGCUCGACAUUGACGCUGAGGCACGAAAGCGUGGGGAUCAAACAGG
RNAcentral lists this ribosomal RNA (422 nucleotides) under uncultured bacterium. RNAcentral describes it as "bacterial SSU rRNA". It matches the Rfam family "Bacterial small subunit ribosomal RNA", at positions 355 to 776 of the family's 1533-position model. The record is from RNAcentral.